UUUGGAGAGUUUGAUCCUGGCUCAGGACGAACGCUGGCGGCGUGCCUAAUACAUGCAAGUCGAGCGGACUUGAAGGAGUGCUUGCACUCUUGAGAGUUAGCGGCGGACGGGUGAGUAACACGUAGGCAACCUGCCCUUAAGACUGGGAUAACUACCGGAAACGGUAGCUAAUACCGGAUAAUUUAUUACAUAGCAUUAUGUGAUAAUGAAAGACGG
Molecule: ribosomal RNA, 216 nt
Filed under: Paenibacillus sp. FSL R5-808
Lineage: Bacteria; Bacillati; Bacillota; Bacilli; Caryophanales; Paenibacillaceae
Description: partial 16S ribosomal RNA
Rfam family: Bacterial small subunit ribosomal RNA
Source: RNAcentral